UGCAGCAAAAUGCACUAUGCAUUGUGAAUUGCAGAAUUCCGUGAGCUAACAGAUGUUUGAAUGUUACUUGUACCUUUGGGAUAUUCUUGAAGGUGUGCUUGAUUCAAUGCAAACU
RNAcentral lists this ribosomal RNA (115 nucleotides) under Alexandrium tamarense. RNAcentral describes it as "5.8S ribosomal RNA". It matches the Rfam family "5.8S ribosomal RNA", at positions 44 to 154 of the family's 154-position model. From Rfam's summary of the family: 5.8S ribosomal RNA (5.8S rRNA) is a component of the large subunit of the eukaryotic ribosome. Lineage: Eukaryota; Dinophyceae; Gonyaulacales; Pyrocystaceae. The record is from RNAcentral.